Long non-coding RNA from Lolium rigidum, 350 nucleotides. RefSeq lists it as uncharacterized. The transcript is spliced from 4 exons. NCBI's taxonomy places the organism in Eukaryota, Viridiplantae, Streptophyta, Magnoliopsida, Poales, Poaceae. The record is from RefSeq and is a predicted model, not a curated record.
AUAAAAAGCCAUGUGAGGUAUCAAGUUAUGUUGUUUGCUUCUCAUACCUGUGGAGUUGCUUUAAAAGCACCAUGAAGAGCUGAUGUUGGAGAGCUUGUUUGAGACUGAGAAGUGGGAAAUUGACCGCGACACGUCCACUGCUCCGUCAUCAACAACAAACUCACUCAUAACUUUAUAAGGCAGGCUCCCAUAUCUUCUCCUUCCUUUCCAGCAUUGCCAUCACCGUUCAGCCGAUGCAGAUAGAAGGGCCAACUUGGGAGAAUCGAUUUGGUGAACAUGAAGGUAGAUUGUAGAUACCAAUAGAAAACAGUUUCUUCACACCAGGUUAACCAUUGCUUUGCAAGCUGAGC